Molecule: long non-coding RNA, 284 nt
Filed under: Homo sapiens (human)
Lineage: Eukaryota; Metazoa; Chordata; Mammalia; Primates; Hominidae
Description: non-protein coding LINC01194:7
Source: RNAcentral
GGUUCCCGCCUGCGCCUCUCCCUCCACACCGCCUUGCAAGCUGAGGGAGCCGGCUCCGGCCUCUGCCAGCCCAGGAAGGGGCUCCCACAGUGCAGCGGCGGGCUGAAGGACUCCUCAAGUGCCACCAAAGUGGGAGCCCAGGCAGAGGAGGCGCCGAGAGCGAGCGAGGGCUGCCUGCCAGCACGCUGUCACGUCUCAGCAAUAGACUGCUCUUGAGCUUAAUAAAUAACUUGAAUUAUGAAGAAUGUUCUUUUACACAUACUAGAUGCAACUACUGCUCCAUG